Molecule: ribosomal RNA, 253 nt
Filed under: uncultured bacterium
Lineage: Bacteria
Description: partial 16S ribosomal RNA
Rfam family: Bacterial small subunit ribosomal RNA
Source: RNAcentral
UACGAAGGGGGCUAGCGUUGUUCGGAUUUACUGGGCGUAAAGCGCACGUAGGCGGACUAUUAAGUCAGAGGUGAAAUCCCAGGGCUCAACCCUGGAACUGCCUUUGAUACUGGUAGUCUCGAGUCCGAGAGAGGUGAGUGGAACUCCUAGUGUAGAGGUGGAAUUCGUAGAUAUUAGGAAGAACACCAGUGGCGAAGGCGGCUCACUGGCUCGGUACUGACGCUGAGGUGCGAAAGCGUGGGGAGCAAACAGG